RNAcentral lists this ribosomal RNA (1347 nucleotides) under Triticum aestivum (bread wheat). RNAcentral describes it as "partial small subunit ribosomal RNA". Lineage: Eukaryota; Viridiplantae; Streptophyta; Magnoliopsida; Poales; Poaceae. The record is from RNAcentral.
AUGGCUCACGCCCUGGGCAUCCACUCACUUCUCCUCCUCCUCCUCCUCCUGGCCUCUUCGGCGGCGUCUACCGACAUCGUACUUGGCCAGAAGGCCGGCGCGGCUGUGGAGGCACGGCCAGGACCGGGGAAGUACGCAGUGAUCAUGGAUGCCGGCAGCACUGGCACCCGCGUCCACGUCUUCAGGUUCGACAAGAGGAUGGAGCUCGUCGACGUUGGCGGCGACAUUGAGGUCUUCGCCACGGUGAAUCCGGGACUGAGCUCGUACGCCGGACGGCCACAGGACGCUGCCAACUCCAUCAUGCCUCUGCUUGAGAAGGCCAACACCGCUGUGCCUCGGUCACUCAUGAAGAGAACACCCAUUAAACUUGGGGCGACGGCUGGACUCAGACUCAUAGGAGACGAGCAGGCGGAGCAAAUUCUUGAAGCGGUCAGGAGUGUUGUCCACACCAAGAGCAAGUUUCAGUACAAUCCUAGUUGGAUCAAUGUGCUCGAGGGAUCUCAGGAAGGAUCUUACUUAUGGGUUGCGCUAAACUAUCUGUUGGAUAAAUUGGGAGGAGAGUACGCCAAGACAGUAGGUGUGAUUGACCUUGGAGGUGGGUCCGUGCAAAUGGCAUAUGCCAUUUCUGCAGAUGCUGCUGCUGCCGCUCCCGUGGUUAAGGAUCAGUACGUUACGAAAGAGUAUCUCAAAGGAAGAGAUUACAACGUAUAUGCUCACAGCUACUUGCACUACGGCGCAAUGGCUGCUCGAGGAGAGAUCUUCAAGGCAAAGAAUGGACCAGUCAGCUACUGCAUGCUGCGUGGAUUCAUUGGUAAAUACACCUACAACGGAGAUAAGUACGACGCCAUUGCAUCACCAACAGGAGCAGCAUAUGACAAGUGCAAAGAGGAUGUGACCAAGGCACUAAAAUUGAGUGCACCCUGUGAAGCGAAGAACUGCACCUUCAAUGGCGUGUGGAAUGGCGGCGGCGGUGCUGGCCAGGCCGACCUCUAUGCCGCCUCCAGUUUCUACUACAUGGCAUCAAGGGUUGGAUUAAUCGACAGUGAGGCUACCAGUGGGAAGACCACCCCUGCAGCGUACAGGGCCGCUGCCGAGAAGAUUUGCACGCUGAGCCUAGAGGAAGCAAAGGCGGCAUACCCAAAGGCCCGAGCCACCGACGUGCCCUACCUUUGCAUGGACCUCGUCUACCAGUACUCCUUGCUUGUGGAUGGGUUCGGUUUGGAGCCAGCCAAGGAGAUCACAGUGGUGGAGAAGGUGAAGCACGGGGAAUACUUCAUCGAAGCCAAGUGGCCCCUCGGAGAAGCUAUAGAGGCUGUGUCACCCACCAAGCGGCUCCAUGAUGCAUGA